AUGGACGACGCGGCGCCGCUCGUGUCCGAGCCGCCGGCCAGGGACUGGUCGCUGCUGCCCCUCGACGUUCUCUCAUUGAUCUUCCCCCGGGUCGGCGCCGUCGACGUCCUCAUGGGCGCCGGCCUCGCGUGCCGCUCGUGGCUCGAGGCGGCCAAGUUGCCAGAACUGUGGCGAGCCGUGGACAUGGACAAACACCAGGUCGUGUUCUGGAAGGACGAUGAUGUCGUGUGCGCAAUGGCGAAGGCGGCCGUCGACCGUUCCGACGGACAGCUUCGGUCGUUCGCCGGCAAGCUAUUUGUCACCGAUGAGCUGAUGAAGUAUAUAGUGGAAAGGUGUUUUUUCUUCCGUUACUUAGCUUUCUGCUCGAAAAUUUAA
Molecule: ribosomal RNA, 375 nt
Filed under: Triticum aestivum (bread wheat)
Lineage: Eukaryota; Viridiplantae; Streptophyta; Magnoliopsida; Poales; Poaceae
Description: partial small subunit ribosomal RNA
Source: RNAcentral